Molecule: long non-coding RNA, 341 nt
Organism: Oxyura jamaicensis (ruddy duck)
Lineage: Eukaryota; Metazoa; Chordata; Aves; Anseriformes; Anatidae
Exons: 2
Source: RefSeq, a predicted model, not a curated record
GUCCUUGAAACCUGACCUCUGUAGCUUUUUGUGCCCAGUGGUCAGGCCGUCCCUGUCUCACUCCAACCAUUUCUGACAGGAAACAUGCUGAUCUCAACAGCAAGUCCUGGCACCUGAGACACACUGGGAUUACACAGAUAUUUCUGAGGUAUCCAUCGCAGUUACUUUACUGCAAAGAAAUAUGAAGGAGGAGUACUAAGGAGCCACUGAGAAGCAAGAGGAGCAGCAAAGCAAACAAGCCUGGACUCAAAAUCAUUGUUCUGGACAUUGUCAAUACCACUUCCAGACUGGAUGAUGCUCUUUUCUAAGGUCCUGCUCAAGCAAAUAAGAUCAUAACAGCA